ACGAACGCUGGCGGCAUGCCUAACACAUGCAAGUCGAACGAUGGCUUCGGCCAUAGUGGCGCACGGGUGCGUAACGCGUGGGAAUCUGCCCUUGGGUACGGAAUAACAGUGAGAAAUUACUGCUAAUACCGUAUGAUGACGUAAGUCCAAAGAUUUAUCGCCCAAGGAUGAGCCCGCGUAGGAUUAGCUUGUUGGUGAGGUAAAAGCUCACCAAGGCGACGAUCCUUAGCUGGUCUGAGAGGAUGAUCAGCCACACUGGGACUGAGACACGGCCCAGACUCCUACGGGAGGCAGCAGUGGGGAAUAUUGGACAAUGGGCGAAAGCCUGAUCCAGCAAUGCCGCGUGAGUGAUGAAGGCCUUAGGGUUGUAAAGCUCUUUUACCCGGGAAGAUAAUGACUGUACCGGGAGAAUAAGCCCCGGCUAACUCCGU
This 431-nucleotide ribosomal RNA is filed under the name uncultured bacterium. Its description in RNAcentral is "bacterial SSU rRNA". It matches the Rfam family "Bacterial small subunit ribosomal RNA", at positions 29 to 506 of the family's 1533-position model. The record is from RNAcentral.